ACACACCGCCCGUCGCUACUACCGAUUGAAUGGCUUAGUGAGGCUUCCGGAUUGGUUUAGAGAAGGGGGCAACUCCAUCUUGGAACCGAGAAGCUAGUCAAACUUGGGUCAUUUAGAGGAAGUAAAAGUCGUAACAAGGUUUCCGUAGGUGAACCUGCGGAAGGAUCAUUACAGAAUGAAAGUGCUUAACUGCAUUUUUUUACACAUGUGUUUUUCUUUUUUUUUGAAAACUUUGCUUUGGUGGGCCCAUGGCCUGCCAGAGAUUAAACUCAACCAAAUUUUAUUUAAGUCAACUGAUUAACUAAUAGUCAAAACUUUCAACAACGGAUCUCUUGGUUCUCGCAUCGAUGAAGAACGCAGCGAAAUGCGAUAAGUAAUAUGAAUUGCAGAUAUUCGUGAAUCAUCGAAUCUUUGAACGCACAUUGCGCCCUUUGGUAUUCCAAAGGGCAUGCCUGUUUGAGCGUCAUUUCUCCCUCAAACCUUCGGGUUUGGUGUUGAGCGAUACGCUGGGUUUGCUUGAAAGAAAGGCGGAGUAUAAACUAAUGGAUAGGUUUUUUUCCACUCAUUGGUACAAACUCCAAAAUUCUUCCAAAUUCGACCUCAAAUCAGGUAGGACUACCCGCUGAACUUAAGCAUAUCAAUAAGCGGAGGAAAAGAAACCAACAGGGAUUGCCUUAGUAGCGGCGAGUGAAGCGGCAAAAGCUCAAAUUUGAAAUCUGGCACUUU
Molecule: ribosomal RNA, 726 nt
Filed under: Lodderomyces orthopsilosis
Lineage: Eukaryota; Fungi; Ascomycota; Pichiomycetes; Serinales; Debaryomycetaceae
Description: eukaryotic LSU rRNA
Rfam family: 5.8S ribosomal RNA (bases 313-466)
Source: RNAcentral